AGAGGAGACGCCCAUGGAACGAAGUUCCAUUUAGCAUGGCGUCGACGAUGUGCCGCAGAGCGAAGCGAUGGGGCGUUACC
This 80-nucleotide small RNA is filed under the name bovine gut metagenome. RNAcentral's name for it is "GA-cis RNA". It matches the Rfam family "GA-cis RNA". The record is from RNAcentral.